RNAcentral lists this ribosomal RNA (253 nucleotides) under uncultured bacterium. RNAcentral describes it as "partial 16S ribosomal RNA". It matches the Rfam family "Bacterial small subunit ribosomal RNA", at positions 524 to 776 of the family's 1533-position model. The record is from RNAcentral.
UACGUAGGGCGCAAGCGUUGUCCGGAAUCAUUGGGCGUAAAGCGCGCGUAGGCGGCUUCAUAAGUCCGUUGUGAAAGUCAAAGGCUCAACCUUUGAAAGCCGAUGGAUACUGUGGAGCUAGAGUACGGAAGAGGCGAGUGGAAUUCCUGGUGUAGCGGUGGAAUGCGCAGAUAUCAGGAGGAACACCAAUAGCGAAGGCAGCUCGCUGGGACGUUACUGACACUGAGGCGCGAAAGCGUGGGGAGCAAACAGG